Molecule: ribosomal RNA, 371 nt
Filed under: uncultured bacterium
Lineage: Bacteria
Description: bacterial SSU rRNA
Rfam family: Bacterial small subunit ribosomal RNA
Source: RNAcentral
UUUGCGGUGUGGGAUGGGCCCGCGGCCUAUCAGCUUGUUGGUGGGGUAAUGGCCUACCAAGGCGACGACGGGUAGCCGGCCUGAGAGGGUGACCGGCCACACUGGGACUGAGAUACGGCCCAGACUCCUACGGGAGGCAGCAGUGGGGAAUAUUGCACAAUGGGCGCAAGCCUGAUGCAGCGAUGCCGCGUGAGGGAUGACGGCCUUCGGGUUGUAAACCUCUUUCACCAGGGACGAAGCGUAAGUGACGGUACCUGGAGAAGAAGCACCGGCCAACUACGUGCCAGCAGCCGCGGUAAUACGUAGGGUGCGAGCGUUGUCCGGAAUUACUGGGCGUAAAGAGCUCGUAGGUGGUUUGUCGCGUUGUUCGA